This 160-nucleotide unclassified non-coding RNA is filed under the name uncultured fungus. RNAcentral describes it as "sequence contains ITS1". The record is from RNAcentral. Lineage: Eukaryota; Fungi.
GUGUGUGAUUACGCUAGUGGUGUUAGAGUGUGUGUUGUGUGGUGGUGGUGGGGUGACGUGGCGCAUGCGUGUUGACACACCACUCCCCACCCCCCUACUGUGCACGGUGCAUACAUACAUAGCCUCGCUGAUGAUCCUUCCGCAGGUUCACCUACGGAAA